CCGUUCUUGUGUUAUUUGCUGGAUGUUUUAUCAUAGUCCAGCGAUUGUCAAACAGAACGCAAAAUAAAGCAACUAAUCACUCCAUAAUGAUGGGCCUACUCAAACCAGGGCCUCCUCAUUACUAAAUGUUUGCUACAUCU
This 140-nucleotide small nucleolar RNA is filed under the name Drosophila ficusphila. Its description in RNAcentral is "small nucleolar RNA psi18S-1377". It matches the Rfam family "Small nucleolar RNA psi18S-1377". Rfam says of the family: psi18S-1377 is a member of the H/ACA class of snoRNA. This family is responsible for guiding the modification of uridines 1377 and 1279 to pseudouridine in Drosophila 18S rRNA. Lineage: Eukaryota; Metazoa; Arthropoda; Insecta; Diptera; Drosophilidae. The record is from RNAcentral.